RNAcentral lists this ribosomal RNA (1510 nucleotides) under Helicobacter pylori. RNAcentral's name for it is "bacterial SSU rRNA". It matches the Rfam family "Bacterial small subunit ribosomal RNA". Lineage: Bacteria; Pseudomonadati; Campylobacterota; Epsilonproteobacteria; Campylobacterales; Helicobacteraceae. The record is from RNAcentral.
UUUUAUGGAGAGUUUGAUCCUGGCUCAGAGUGAACGCUGGCGGCGUGCCUAAUACAUGCAAGUCGAACGAUGAAGCUUCUAGCUUGCUAGAAUGCUGAUUAGUGGCGCACGGGUGAGUAACGCAUAGGUCAUGUGCCUCUUAGUUUGGGAUAGCCAUUGGAAACGAUGAUUAAUACCAGAUACUCCCUACGGGGGAAAGAUUUAUCGCUAAGAGAUCAGCCUAUGUCCUAUCAGCUUGUUGGUAAGGUAAUGGCUUACCAAGGCUAUGACGGGUAUCCGGCCUGAGAGGGUGAACGGACACACUGGAACUGAGACACGGUCCAGACUCCUACGGGAGGCAGCAGUAGGGAAUAUUGCUCAAUGGGGGAAACCCUGAAGCAGCAACGCCGCGUGGAGGAUGAAGGUUUUAGGAUUGUAAACUCCUUUUGUUAGAGAAGAUAAUGACGGUAUCUAACGAAUAAGCACCGGCUAACUCCGUGCCAGCAGCCGCGGUAAUACGGAGGGUGCAAGCGUUACUCGGAAUCACUGGGCGUAAAGAGCGCGUAGGCGGGAUAGUCAGUCAGGUGUGAAAUCCUAUGGCUUAACCAUAGAACUGCAUUUGAAACUACUAUUCUAGAGUGUGGGAGAGGUAGGUGGAAUUCUUGGUGUAGGGGUAAAAUCCGUAGAGAUCAAGAGGAAUACUCAUUGCGAAGGCGACCUGCUGGAACAUUACUGACGCUGAUUGCGCGAAAGCGUGGGGAGCAAACAGGAUUAGAUACCCUGGUAGUCCACGCCCUAAACGAUGGAUGCUAGUUGUUGGAGGGCUUAGUCUCUCCAGUAAUGCAGCUAACGCAUUAAGCAUCCCGCCUGGGGAGUACGGUCGCAAGAUUAAAACUCAAAGGAAUAGACGGGGACCCGCACAAGCGGUGGAGCAUGUGGUUUAAUUCGAAGAUACACGAAGAACCUUACCUAGGCUUGACAUUGAGAGAAUCCGCUAGAAAUAGUGGAGUGUCUGGCUUGCUAGACCUUGAAAACAGGUGCUGCACGGCUGUCGUCAGCUCGUGUCGUGAGAUGUUGGGUUAAGUCCCGCAACGAGCGCAACCCCCUUUCUUAGUUGCUAACAGGUUAUGCUGAGAACUCUAAGGAUACUGCCUCCGUAAGGAGGAGGAAGGUGGGGACGACGUCAAGUCAUCAUGGCCCUUACGCCUAGGGCUACACACGUGCUACAAUGGGGUGCACAAAGAGAAGCAAUACUGCGAAGUGGAGCCAAUCUUCAAAACACCUCUCAGUUCGGAUUGUAGGCUGCAACUCGCCUGCAUGAAGCUGGAAUCGCUAGUAAUCGCAAAUCAGCCAUGUUGCGGUGAAUACGUUCCCGGGUCUUGUACUCACCGCCCGUCACACCAUGGGAGUUGUGUUUGCCUUAAGUCAGGAUGCUAAAUUGGCUACUGCCCACGGCACACACAGCGACUGGGGUGAAGUCGUAACAAGGUAACCGUAGGUGAACCUGCGGUUGGAUCACCUCCUUUCUAGA